This 496-nucleotide ribosomal RNA is filed under the name uncultured bacterium. RNAcentral describes it as "bacterial SSU rRNA". It matches the Rfam family "Bacterial small subunit ribosomal RNA", at positions 29 to 518 of the family's 1533-position model. The record is from RNAcentral.
AUGAACGCUAGCGACAGGCCUAACACAUGCAAGUCAGGGGCAGCACAAGGAGCAAUCUGAGGUGGCGACCGGCGCACGGGUGAGUAACACGUAUGCAACCUGCCUGUAAGCGGGGAAUAACCCGUUGAAAGACGGACUAAUACCGCAUAAUACUAAAUUACUGCAUGGUAAUUUAUUUAAACAUUUUAUGGCUUACAGAUGGGCAUGCGCAUGAUUAGCUAGUUGGAGAGGUAACGGCUCCCCAAGGCAACGAUCAUUAGGGGUUCUGAGAGGAAGGUCCCCCACACUGGUACUGAGACACGGACCAGACUCCUACGGGAGGCAGCAGUGAGGAAUAUUGGUCAAUGGACGAGAGUCUGAACCAGCCAAGUCGCGUGCAGGAAGAAUGUCCUUAAUGGAUUGUAAACUGCUUUUGCAGGGGAAUAAAGUGCAUCACGUGUGAUGUUUUGUAUGUACUCUGCGAAUAAGGAUCGGCUAACUCCGUGCCAGCCGCAGC